This 407-nucleotide ribosomal RNA is filed under the name uncultured bacterium. RNAcentral describes it as "partial 16S ribosomal RNA". It matches the Rfam family "Bacterial small subunit ribosomal RNA", at positions 30 to 526 of the family's 1533-position model. The record is from RNAcentral.
AUUGAACGCUGGCGGCAUGCCUAACACAUGCAAGUCGAGCGGAGCGGCGGACGGGUGAGUAAUGCCUAGGAAUCUGCCUGGUAGUGGGGGAUAACGUCCGGAAAUGGGAGCUAAUACCGCAUACUAUUAGAUGAGCCUAGGUCGGAUUAGCUAGUUGGUGGGGUAAAGGCCUACCAAGGCGACGAUCCGUAACUGGUCUGAGAGGACGAUCAGUCACACUGGAACUGAGACACGGCCCAGACUCCUACGGGAGGCAGCAGUGGGGAAUAUUGGACAAUGGGCGAAAGCCUGAUGCAGCCAUGCCGCGUGUGUGAAGAAGGCCUUCGGGUUGUAAAGCACUUUCAGCGGGGAGGCGUUACCCGCAGAAGAAGCACCGGCUAACUCCGUGCCAGCAGCCGCGGUAAUUC